CCAAAGCAGAACAAGCAAGCAGUAUCCCAUUCCCACUGGCACACACAGUUAAUAAGCUGAAGCUCUCAAAAAUGAAAUGCCAACACUUCAUUUUCGACUACGCAGACAUCUGUUAGAAUACAAAUGGCAGUUAAAGAAUUCCCCUCUAUGGGUAGACUAUACGUUUUCAUUUCACACUCUUUUAACAUAUUGUUCAGGAAACAUCUUAGCACCUACAGCUUGAUAACGCCAUAAUUAUGGACAUUAUAUGAUGAGAAAAAGGACCUGAAGUAUUAAAGGGUUGCAGGAAUCUUUCAAUCACCCUUUUGUGGCAGGGUUUCAAAUGCAGAAACAGUGUUCUCGAACUUAAUCCGAUGCAGAGGGGCGCCACUUUGCUUGAUAGCACAAGCUAUCUUGUCUUCCAAGGGGCAGCGCGCUUUUAGCAUGGAGAAAACAUGAUUGUUCAACCUCCUUGCUUUCUUCAUGGCUUCCAAUAAAGUUUCCCAUCCCUGAGUAAGAUGAGGAUUCCUGUGCAUUUUUGAGAGUGAUCCAGCCUCCACCUCAGCAACAUUGAGGAUUUGAUAUGAAAAGUCGAAGAGCUCAAAAUGUAGCUGCUGACCAAGCAAGUAUAUUAUAGUGCAACCACCCCAUGCAACCGAAUCACCCAGCACUUCAUGAUAGUUGAAUGAUUGUUUAUCAGACUGCUCCAGGUAUCCUAUUUGAAGGCCACUAUAUAUACGGUAGAAAUCUUUUGAAGUUGUUAUGUCAAUGAACCCUGUCUUGGGAGCAGCACUCCACUUAGUACAAUAUUUAUCAAGUGCUGCACUGGUAAAAGCAAGAGCAUAUUCCAGCACACUUCCAGUAUUCAUGUUAGCCUUGUACAAAAGAUCUGCAGCUUCUGCCUGCUUUGACAUGGUGAAGAAAGAUGAGGGAUUUGGACAACCAGGAUUAGAUACAAUUGCAGCAAUAGAUGAUUUGAAAAGAUUGACAAGAGGACUAUCCCUGCCAUCUUGAGAAUGAAGUAUCUGCCCAUCCACACCAGGAAGCAAGCCCAACCAAGGGGCUGUUUGCAUGAAAUGCGUGGUAUCAACUUCCCUCAAUACACUGUCAAGAAGCCCCAUCCAAUAUAAUACACUUCCAAUCUCCUUUAUCCCUCUAAGAACCUCUGCUUUGAGCUCUGAUUUUGUCCCCCAAUUAAGAUUUUCUUUAGUAAGCCUCAUACAACCUGCAACACCACCAUCGAAAGGAAGCAAUCCAAUAGAUUUUGGCAAUGCUUCUUGUAAUCCCGUAAUCAUGGGUUCAAGUGUAGUUAGCUUAUUUGAUAUAUGAUCUAGGAGGGCUCGGAUAAGCCAAGGCAAUGAUCUGGAUCCCAAAAGUCUAACAACAGAAAACAUGUGGGGAAUUCCAAAGAACCCACUAUGCAAGCGAGCAAAACUCUGAUGUGCAGAAUUCAACUCCUGAGUACCACAAUAGAAGUUAGGCUUGGCAUGGGGAACUGAUGGUUUUUGAACAGGAACAAGUGGAACUCUUGAUGAUCGGACAAAACGUUGAGUAGUAUUGCAAAGAACAAAGUUUGGCAGGAAAUCAUUUUGCAUCUCUGACCAAAUCUGAGAAGCAAGUCGACUAGAAAAUGACACAAGUGAGAUGUUUUCUUGCAUCUCAUUCAACAUGAGACCAAAUGAGUCUAUUGAAAUAUCUUUAGAAAGCAGUUCAUGGGUAUGCUUUAGGAUAUCCAGUAAUUUGUCUAAUUCCAUUACUGCACAUAGAUCCUGUGACUCGAAACGAUCAAAUAGAAACUCAAGAUUGUCUCUGAAAACUUUGUUCAUCCGCUCAGCAAUCAAGCUUCUUAAAUCAAUGGUCCUCCCCAGCAACUUUACUCUAGUCAUCUUAAAUAGAGCAGUGAACCUCAUAGGUUGGACAGAAUAUUUUUCUCCGUUGUCCAAGGCAAAAAGGAAUGAUGGAUCAAGUAAUGCACUCGCUGCCCAGCUCUUGUAAUAUGUGAAAAUAGUAUCAGAGAGUUUUGAAACAAAUAGAUCAAAACAGUGGUCCACCUCAGCCUCAAUUUCAUCGUAGAGGAACCGCUGCCUUAGCAUCACCAGAGCUUGCUGAGCUGAAUCGUUGUAGAUGUCAAAUGGCAUCAGAACACUUUCAAUAAGGCCUGCAUUCUGGGACUCAAGCACAUGAUCCACCAACAUCCAGGGAAGAGAGCAUUUGAUGGGAAACUGAAUAACACGAGAAGACUCCAAAUAAAAUUCCCUAAACCAUAAGAAACCAAGAUCCGUCAAAGUUGCAAUAGUUGCUGAAUAGUCCAAUAUAUGCAGGAAGAAACUAAGCUUGUAAAAGAAGGUCUCCAACUGCUUUAAAUCAUUUACAGGAAUCUCAGACCCACUAUUGCCAAAAAGCCCUCCAGGCUUCCGAAGAUUACCACCAGAUACCACUUCAUAUAUCAGGAAUUGCAAGCAAUGGAC
This 2447-nucleotide unclassified non-coding RNA is filed under the name Hevea brasiliensis (rubber tree). Lineage: Eukaryota; Viridiplantae; Streptophyta; Magnoliopsida; Malpighiales; Euphorbiaceae. The record is from RNAcentral.